CGGACCAUCUUGGGAGCUUCCACUUGGAAGAAGGGAUUCAAAGACAGCGAGCCUCAGCACUUCAAACAACAACAUCCCACCACCAAACUCCACUCUUCAGAACCUCAUAACACUUUUCCAACGUCAAGGUCUUGAUGAAGUAGACCUCGUUGCUCUCUCAGGUCAACCCAUUGUCCCACGUUUUCAGUCAGACCAUAACAUAAUUAAAAACCGUCUUUGACCUUAUAAUGGCUUACUCAUUUUGAACAUGUACUAAUGUUUCAGGAGGACAUACCAUUGGUGUAGCCAGGUGUGCGACCUUCAAGCAGAGACUCUACAACCAAAACGGAAACAACCUGCCAGACCAAACACUAGAAAGAACCUACUACUAUGGCUUGAAAUCUGUGUGUCCCAAGUCUGGCGGUGACAACAACAUUUCACCUUUGGAUUUCGGGUCCCCUGUAAAAUUCGACAACCUUUAUUUCAAGCUUAUUUUGUGGGGAAAAGGACUGCUCAAUUCGGAUGAAGUGCUUUUGACAGGGAAUGUUGGAAAUACAAUGGAG
RNAcentral lists this long non-coding RNA (542 nucleotides) under Gossypium barbadense (sea-island cotton). Its description in RNAcentral is "long non-coding RNA (GBAR_LNC003854)". The record is from RNAcentral. Lineage: Eukaryota; Viridiplantae; Streptophyta; Magnoliopsida; Malvales; Malvaceae.